This 538-nucleotide unclassified non-coding RNA is filed under the name Hevea brasiliensis (rubber tree). The record is from RNAcentral. Lineage: Eukaryota; Viridiplantae; Streptophyta; Magnoliopsida; Malpighiales; Euphorbiaceae.
UGUGGAGAUGCAACCCAAGGGCCACCAAAAGGAGCCUGAGAUAGCCAAGAAGGACUAUGCCCAACAAAAUUCCUGAUAACCGGAGCCUGAUGAGGAUGCAAAGGCGAAAGUGCCUGCUGAUAAUCAGUAACUGGGCCCCUUGGCAUAGCACUUGUUUGCAGAGUGUCACCAGGAGUAGGCAUACCCCAAAGUGGUGAAGAGAGGGAUACAAUGGGAUUCACAAUUGUAGGAGUACCCUUGCUGCUGCCUCGGACAACAGGUGAGGAGACUACUUUACUUUGAUGUGCACUUUGUUUAAUUGAUUGCUCGGGAGCUCUAGCACCUGAACGAGAUUGCAGAGGUGUCUCAGGGGUAAUGAGAUGAGACUUUUGACCAUGAAGCCUUUCUAAACAUGAGCGCCAGGCACUCUCCCAAAUGCUCCUACCACCAUCAGGUCCUCCAAAGGCAGAUAUCAUAUAUGCUUCAUCAGGUGCCAUUCCUUGAAUCAAAGCUCCAUAAACAAAGAUCUGAGCACGCAAUUGCACUUGCUGUAAAUCUG